Molecule: non-coding RNA, 574 nt
Organism: Pelobates cultripes (western spadefoot toad)
Lineage: Eukaryota; Metazoa; Chordata; Amphibia; Anura; Pelobatidae
Source: the annotation of a GenBank genome assembly
GCGCUCACAUCUUGGGAGAUUAUUAUUGCCGCCAACCAUCAAACCUUCAUUACCGAAGAAAUUCGCAUCCAAAAAUGCUAUUCAGGAAGUCCCUUGGGAUACAUUGGGUUUUGUGAGCAACCUUUUUCUGGUCCCCCAAGAAAGGAGGCGGAAUAUGACCAACCAUCGAUCUCCUCUCCUUUGAAUGCAUUUGUCCAAUACCGCCACUUCAAGAUGGAGGUUAUCCAUUGCCUUCGGGACAUUCUGUUAGAUUGAAUGGUCAAACUGGACUUGUGAGACGCGUAUCUGACAAUCCCUCUUGCAGAAAAUCAUCAGAAUUUCCUCCAGUUUCAGUGGCAAGGGACAAAUUGUAGGUUUUCAUGUCUCCCAUUUGACCUUUCCUCUGCUCCCUGGUGCCUCACAAAGGUACUAAAGCUGGUGGUUGCUUGUCUACACACAGGAGGUGAGUAUUAUUCCCACCCUUCCCUCUUGGAAUUAUUUGUUUUUUAUUCAGUUUCUUCAUACCAUCUGUAGAUUCUGGUGAGUGCAGAAAAAUACCUCUUACGCAAGUAGGCGUAAGAGGUUUGGUUUGGUG